GGCUCUUUUCCUCCCUGAAGGCCAGAUGGUUAUGAGCCUUGUGGGCGGAGGGGCUUCUGCAAACCCCAUCCCCAAAGAACAGUGCCAAAGGUCUGGAAGGCAGCCUCAUUCACUACUUGAGCCCACUUCCAGUGUGUGGGAGAAGCAUCGAUUGUCAAGCUGAAGGUGAAUAAGACGUUUUGGUUGAAUUGAGAAGGCUGAAUCCAGCAGCCCUUUAUAAGACUUACAUGAACCGAUG
This is a long non-coding RNA of Vombatus ursinus (common wombat), 238 nucleotides long. RefSeq lists it as uncharacterized. Lineage: Eukaryota; Metazoa; Chordata; Mammalia; Diprotodontia; Vombatidae. The record is from RefSeq and is a predicted model, not a curated record. The transcript is spliced from 3 exons.